GGGGUCCUCGCGGCGCACCAAGGCGAGACGCUCUGGUGACAAGUAGCGGCGGACACUGCUAAAAGAGAGCACACAGGUCUUGGAGAGCCUGGGGGUCCCGGCCUUGUGCUUUACCUGCGCCCGAAGGUCGCCUCCUUCUUGGGAGAGGAUGGGGACGUGGCAUAGCCACCCACGCGCCGCGGGGGUCCCGAGCCAUUAAGGGGCGUCCUGGUGGGAAGGCCUUUCAAGAGCUGACACACUGGAGGGAUGGGGUUAGGGGACAGAAGAGGGCGACGCAGAGCAUCCGCCAGCGCCGCCUUUAGGACCGCCAGCUCGUCUUCCUGUAACUGCAGCCGCUGCUCCAGCGCCGACACGCGGUCGUCCACUUCCAUACCGCUCGUGCCCGACAAAUUGUCAUCUGGAAGACGGGGGAGUGCCGGCUGCAGGGCCACCCAGGAGCUCCAGUGCCCAAGGGGUCCCUCCCGCCUUCCUGGGUCUAAGCGGGGGGCCAGCCACGCCCCUUUCCUGUCCCGCUACCUGGGGCUGGGACACUUGGACAUGGGCCAAGGAAGAGGACUCUGAAGGGGGAAGGAAAUCCCCACAGCUCUCCAACCCAUCCCCACACUCCUCUCUGCCGCAGCGCGCUGGCCGUGUGACCUUGGGGAAGUCCCUUCCCUCUUAUUUUCUAAGAGUCUGUGAACCCAGGAGCCUCUCAUUCUGGCUGUAAGAUUCUAUAACUAAGAUGUGACCAGGCGCGGUGGCUCACGCCUGUAACCCCAGCACUUUGGGAGGCCGAGACGGGCGUAUCACGAGGUCAGGAGAUUGAGACCAUCCUGGCCAACAUGGUGAAACCCCGUCUCUACUAAAAUAAAAAUAAAAAUAAAAAAAAUUA
RNAcentral lists this non-coding RNA (871 nucleotides) under Pongo abelii (Sumatran orangutan). The record is from RNAcentral. Lineage: Eukaryota; Metazoa; Chordata; Mammalia; Primates; Hominidae.